This 684-nucleotide long non-coding RNA is filed under the name Pan troglodytes (chimpanzee). RNAcentral's name for it is "long non-coding RNA NONPTRT007736". The record is from RNAcentral. Lineage: Eukaryota; Metazoa; Chordata; Mammalia; Primates; Hominidae.
GGUGGGUGCCUGUAAUCCCAGCUACUCGGGAAGCUGAGGCAGGAGAAUUGCUUGAACCUGGGAGUGAGAGGUUAGCUUUCUCUAGACUAUGCCUGUGCUAACAAAGGUCUGAAGGAAAGUGAAAGCUAGGUCUUGGUUUGGAAGCUUAGAACACUGAGCCAGCGGUAGGGUGUAACACAUCAGGAACUACUUCCAAGAGAAGCCUGCAUUUCUGCUCUCAUGCUGAUCUCAAAAACCCCACUCAACACUGCAACUUUAUCAUAGCAGUUUUCAUCCCAGAAUUUUUUUUUAAUAAUGACAAGACAUGUUGUUGAAAAAAAAUCACACCUUGGUUUCUUAGAGCUGCUCGUUCCUGAUUGCCGCUGCUGUCUCCAGGCAUCCCUCUAGCAGCACCUGGAUGUAGAUGACUGAAUGUUAAGAGGUUGCAAGUGACAAUCUGAAAAUUUGCACUCUUGUGUGUAGUUUUCUUUUCAUUUCUUUCAGAAAUAGUUUCCAAAAAGACCAUUACAUCUCCUGAUAUGAUUUGUAUAAUUUUCAGUUCUAGCUAAAAAUAAUGUAAGGAACUCUCAGCGGAUGCAGCUGCAACUUACAAUGAACUGUGCCCUCCUAUCCCCCAUACUUUACCCUUCUUUCUUAUUUUAUAGUGUGGGAUACACAUGAGUGAUGUUUUCUUUGUGCACUGAG